UUUCUUUUUUUUUUCUUGUCUCCUCUCUCUCUCUCUCUCUCUCUCUCACCAUCACACAGAACACAUAAGAACCAUGGCCGCUUCUUCUUCCUCUGCUGCUUCCUUCUUUGGAGUUCGACAAGAUGAACAGUCUCACCUGCUUCCUCUUAAUUCCUCCGCAGCCGUUCCUGCUCCUCCUCACCACCAGCCACCGCAGCCUCAGCAACCCCUUGAAGCUCCACCGCAGAAAAAGAAAAGAAACCAACCAAGAACUCCAAAUUCAGAUGCAGAAGUGAUAGCUUUAUCUCCAAAGACACUAAUGGCUACAAAUAGAUUCAUAUGUGAAGUAUGCAACAAAGGGUUUCAAAGAGAACAGAAUCUACAGCUACACCGAAGAGGACACAAUCUUCCAUGGAAACUUAAGCAAAAAUCGACCAAAGAAGUGAAGAGGAAGGUGUAUCUUUGUCCGGAACCCUCGUGCGUCCACCAUGACCCGUCACGUGCUCUCGGAGACCUCACCGGAAUCAAGAAACAUUAUUACCGUAAACACGGUGAAAAGAAGUGGAAAUGCGAGAAAUGUUCUAAGCGUUACGCUGUUCAAUCUGAUUGGAAAGCUCACUCCAAGACUUGUGGUACCAAAGAAUAUCGUUGCGAUUGUGGUACACUCUUCUCCCGGCGAGACAGUUUCAUUACGCAUAGAGCCUUCUGUGACGCAUUGGCUCAAGAAAGUGCGAGACACCCAACUUCUUUGACAUCUUUGCCAAGUCACCACUUUCCCUACGGACAAAACACCAACAACUCCAACAACAACACUUCAAGCAUGAUCCUUGGUUUGCCCCAUAUGGGGGCCCCACAGAAUCUUGAUCAUCAGUCCGGUGACGUUCUUCGACUUGGAAGCGGCGGAGGAGGUGGAGGGGGCGCCUCGCGAUCUUCCUCUGAUCUCAUUGCUGCAAAUGCUUCAGGUUACUUCAUGCAAGAGCAAAACCCUAGCUUUCAUGAUCAGCAAGACCAUCAUCAACAUCAACAACAAGGGUUUUUGGCUGCAAACAGUAACAUCAAGCCAUCUACAAUGAAUUUUCAACAGAGUCUGAUGCAGUUCUCAAAUGAUAACCAUAAUUCUCCUUCCUCCAAUCUCUUCAAUCUAAGCUUUCUAUCUGGAAACAAUGGAGUUGCUUCUGCUACAAGCAACCCAAAUGCUGCUGCUGUUUCUUCGGGUAAUCAUAUGAUUUCAAACCAUUUUGGUGGUGAAAAUGCUGUUGGAGGCAGCGGAGGAGGAAGUACUGGUCUCUUCCCUAACAAUCUGAUGAGUUCAGCAGGCAGAAUCAACUCAGGAGCAGUGCCUUCACUCUUUAGCUCGUCAAUGCAAAACCCUAAUUCAGCGCCUCACAUGUCAGCCACUGCUCUUCUUCAGAAAGCUGCUCAAAUGGGUUCAACCUCAAGCAGCAGCAACAACAACAAUACAAACAAUGCCUCGUCGAUUCUAAGAAGCUUUGGGAGUGGAAUGUACGGAGAAAACGAGAGUAAUCUUCACGAUUUGAUGAACUCUUUCUCUAACCCGGGCGCAACUGGAAACAACCUUAAUGCAGUAGAUUCUCAGUUUGGGACGUACGGUGGAGUGAACAAAGGACUAAGCGCUGAUAAACAGAACAUGACUAGAGACUUUCUUGGAGUUGGACAGAUUGUAAGAAGCAUGAGUGGAAGCGCAGGGUUUCAACAACAACAGCAGCAGCAGCAUGGGAAUGGUGGUAAAGAAAGAGUUGGCUCUUCCUCUGAUUCCGCCGACAGAAACAGCAUGAACGUGAAUCCUGGUGGUGGUGGUUCUACAAGUUCACCAUCGUAUGGAAUCCAUCAUGCUAGUUUCUAGCUAAAGGAAAAAAAUUAAAAGGUUUUACAUUCAUCAGAGUACGUACAUGCUAUAUCUUUCAGUCAAUGAGUUGGAGAGUACAAGCAGCCUUUGCUAAGUUUCUUUGUCUUUUUGUUUUUAUUUUCUUUUCAUUUGCCUUUUUAUUCUUCAAUUUCUUUUCAUUUGUCCUCGAUCACUAGCUGGCAAUGUCACGAGUGUAUGUCCUGUGAUCCCCUUUCUAAAUAUCUCGGUACAUGUAUACAUACAUGUCACAUGUGCAUAAAUAUGUGCAUUUGUAUGUAACAUAUUCCUACCAUAUCCUAAAGGGUUGUCCCCAUCAUAUUUUAAAUUUACGGUCCAAAAUAAACAAUUCUGUCUCAACA
Molecule: RNA transcript, 2205 nt
Organism: Raphanus sativus (radish)
Lineage: Eukaryota; Viridiplantae; Streptophyta; Magnoliopsida; Brassicales; Brassicaceae
Gene name: protein indeterminate-domain 5, chloroplastic
Exons: 4
Source: RefSeq, a predicted model, not a curated record